Dendrobium catenatum is the source of this 107-nucleotide small nucleolar RNA. NCBI's taxonomy places the organism in Eukaryota, Viridiplantae, Streptophyta, Magnoliopsida, Asparagales, Orchidaceae. The record is from RefSeq and is a predicted model, not a curated record.
AUGGGAUGGUGAGGGAAAUUUCUAAGAAUCUCCUUGAAUCUCUUCUAAAUCUCAUAAAUAGAUUCUCCUUCUAACUAUGUAAAAUAAAAAAUAUCAUUUCUAAGUAU